GGAUAUGACUCCUCAUCGCAUGGUGGGGGGUGGAAAGCUUUUUUGUGGUUUUGGAUGGACUCGCGGCCUAUCAGCUUGUUGGUGAGGUAAUGGCUCACCAAGGCGACGACGGGUAGCCGGCCUGAGAGGGUGACCGGCCACACUGGGACUGAGACACGGCCCAGACUCCUACGGGAGGCAGCAGUGGGGAAUAUUGCACAAUGGGCGCAAGCCUGAUGCAGCGACGCCGCGUGAGGGAUGACGGCCUUCGGGUUGUAAACCUCUUUCAGUAGGGAAGAAGCGAAAGUGACGGGUACCUGCAGAAGAAGCGCCGGCUAACUACGUGCCAGCAGCCGCGGUAAUACGUAGGGCGCAAGCGUUAUCCGGAAUUAUUGGGCGUAAAGAGCUCGUAGGCGGUUUGUCGCGUCUGCCGUGAAAGUCCGGGCUCAACUCCGGAUCUGCGGUGGGUACGGGCAGACUAGAGUGAUGUAGGGGAGACUGGAAUUCCUGCGUGUAGCGGUGAA
Molecule: ribosomal RNA, 503 nt
Filed under: Arthrobacter humicola
Lineage: Bacteria; Bacillati; Actinomycetota; Actinomycetes; Micrococcales; Micrococcaceae
Description: bacterial SSU rRNA
Rfam family: Bacterial small subunit ribosomal RNA
Source: RNAcentral